RNAcentral lists this ribosomal RNA (712 nucleotides) under Escherichia coli. RNAcentral's name for it is "bacterial LSU rRNA". It matches the Rfam family "Bacterial large subunit ribosomal RNA", at positions 2231 to 2925 of the family's 2925-position model. Lineage: Bacteria; Pseudomonadati; Pseudomonadota; Gammaproteobacteria; Enterobacterales; Enterobacteriaceae. The record is from RNAcentral.
ACCCGUGAUCCGGGUUGCGGACAGUGUCUGGUGGGUAGUUUGACUGGGGCGGUCUCCUCCUAAAGAGUAACGGAGGAGCACGAAGGUUGGCUAAUCCUGGUCGGACAUCAGGAGGUUAGUGCAAUGGCAUAAGCCAGCUUGACUGCGAGCGUGACGGCGCGAGCAGGUGCGAAAGCAGGUCAUAGUGAUCCGGUGGUUCUGAAUGGAAGGGCCAUCGCUCAACGGAUAAAAGGUACUCCGGGGAUAACAGGCUGAUACCGCCCAAGAGUUCAUAUCGACGGCGGUGUUUGGCACCUCGAUGUCGGCUCAUCACAUCCUGGGGCUGAAGUAGGUCCCAAGGGUAUGGCUGUUCGCCAUUUAAAGUGGUACGCGAGCUGGGUUUAGAACGUCGUGAGACAGUUCGGUCCCUAUCUGCCGUGGGCGCUGGAGAACUGAGGGGGGCUGCUCCUAGUACGAGAGGACCGGAGUGGACGCAUCACUGGUGUUCGGGUUGUCAUGCCAAUGGCACUGCCCGGUAGCUAAAUGCGGAAGAGAUAAGUGCUGAAAGCAUCUAAGCACGAAACUUGCCCCGAGAUGAGUUCUCCCUGACUCCUUGAGAGUCCUGAAGGAACGUUGAAGACGACGACGUUGAUAGGCCGGGUGUGUAAGCGCAGCGAUGCGUUGAGCUAACCGGUACUAAUGAACCGUGAGGCUUAACCUUACAACGCCGAAG